Long non-coding RNA from Mustela lutreola (European mink), 2084 nucleotides. RefSeq lists it as uncharacterized. The transcript is spliced from 3 exons. The record is from RefSeq and is a predicted model, not a curated record. Lineage: Eukaryota; Metazoa; Chordata; Mammalia; Carnivora; Mustelidae.
UCUGUUCCCUGCACCCCAGUAAAUACAGAGAAAUUCUGUUCCUUAAAAAGAAAUGUUAGAGCUUUAGACUUUUCCCAGCCAGAAACCUACCUAGUUUCCUCAAGGUUGCUUGUUAGCUAUAUCCCAUCCUGCCUCUUUUCCCCUUUGUGGCCUCCGGUUGCAUUUCGGGGGGCUUUAGAUAAUGCUGCUCGUGUCAGCAAGCUUCCCUGUCUCCAGCCGCACCCCAUCUCCCUUUAUGGAAUUGUAGUCGAAAACCAAACGCGCACACACACAAAUUCUCGUUAAAAUUUUCUGCUAUUCUUCCUGACUGGAAGAGUUGACAAGACGGAGACAUUAAGUUGCAUAAAAUACAGUGGACUGAUCAGCCAGAAUGCAUCUCAUUUGCACUUGUACGAAGUCGGGGUAUGAGCUGGUGUCACUCACGGCCUCCAGUCCUCUUUGCCGUGCUGCACUGCCUGGCUGGAAUUUUCUAGCAGGCCCCACUGUGGAGGCCAUUUGUGAGGUUGGAGCCUUCCCCCCCAGCCCAGGCCAUUCAAGGUGAGGGGGGGGUGGAAUUGGGGAGGGCAGAGGCCUCUGGAGGCCUGGCCCGAGGGCUUGGGCCAGCUUGGGGAGACCUUCCUCUCUGGGACGCUCAGACAGCUGGAUGCCCCAGGUCUGCAGUGAUUCCAAGGGGAUCCCUCUGGCUUGAAUGAAAGGGGACACCAUGAAGGAGAGGGAUGGUCACUGAGCACAUUUUCUACCCACUUCUACCCAUCUCCCUAAGUUUUGUUCUCAUUCCCUGCUUUGUCCCCAGUGGAGGGGUCCCUGGGCCUGAUAGUUUCCUUCACCUCCUCCUCCUCCUGACCUCAGACAGAGCCUGAGGGCUUCUCUCUUUUCUCCUGUCUCCCUGAGCUCCACUCCUGGGCUCCAGAGUUCCAGAAAAAAAUGCCUUUCUCAUCAGCUCCCAGAGGCACCUGGCAUCUGCUCAGAGAGCCUCAGGAUCCCAGCGGGGGUACUAGAGGAAGUUUGGAGUCUUUAUGCUGUUCCCCCUCACCACUCACAAUCACCUUCCAGCUUUGGUGUCCACUUUUCCUGCCCCAGAUGCUGAGGCUUCAGAUUCCUAUCUACCAAUUCGUACCCAGCACUUGGGUGCUGGGUAACUGCCAGGGUAUAUUGGAGGCUGGAGUCCUGGAGGCCUUAGUGGUAGAAGGUCCAGAGGAAAUGGGGUCUUCUGGGAGUCUCAGUGGGGGUGGUGGGAGGGCCUGAGUGCCCCAGCUUAGCCUCCUUUGAGCACCCCCAAAAGCGUGUCCCGGGUGCUUCUUUUCCACCGUGUUCUGCCUGCUUUCCUUGCAAAGGUCAUGGGACUCGGACUUCCGCCAAUCCUAGGAGCUCCCCUUUUCUUCAGUGCUUUUCUUGCCCAGCAGGGAGGCUUCUGGACUGCUUCUGGGCCUCCACUGCCAGUCCCGGACUUCGGCCUGUGACCUUCCCGGAGGGGUGGGGAGCCAAGGGCCAGGGAUGUUGCCCAACAAGACCACCGCCUCACAGGGCCUGGACCACAGACGAGGGCCUUCGGACCCAGGCGCAGCCAGCCACCCACCCGUGCCCGCGGUGGCCUGCAGCAGCGCAGGGGCCAGGGCUGUGGAGCUGGGCAGCCAGCCCUGCACCAUUGACAGCCGGGGCACGUCUGCAGCGCCCCAGGGAACAAUCAAUGGACUCUGUGUCCCGGGAGCUGGGGACACGCCUGUAAGGCCUUUCUGCCUGCACAGUCACUGGGAGAAAAAUCAAGUUGUGCAGCGUUCUGGCCGACUAAAUGGGCUUGCCUUCUGCGGAGAGGCAGUCCUGGAGGACAUAACUCAGGAGCCAUCUCCCAGGAAACUCUUCAUCAGAACAUCCCUUGUCCUUCUGUAUUUGUUUUUUUGCUUUUGUAUUAAAAAGCUGUUUUGGGGGCUGCCUGGGUGGCUCAGUGGGUUAACCCUUUGCCUUUGGCUUAGGUCAAGAUCUCAGGGUCCUGGGAUCGAACCCCGCAUCUGCUCAGCAGGGAAUCUGCUUCCCUCACUCUCUACCUGCCCCUCUGCCUACUUGUGAUCUCUAUCAAAUAAAUAAAA